UACGUAGGCAGCAAGCGUUGUUCGGAAUUACUGGGCGUAAAGAGUGUGUAGGCGGUGCUCCAAGUCUGGUGUGAAAUCUUCCGGCUUAACUGGGAGGGUGCAUUAGAAACUGGAAUGCUAGAGGAUGGGAGAGGUAAGCGGAAUUCCUGGUGUAGCGGUGAAAUGCGUAGAUAUCAGGAGGAACACCUGUGGUGUAGACAGCUUACUGGACCAUUUCUGACGCUGAGACACGAAAGCGUGGGUAGCAAACAGG
Molecule: ribosomal RNA, 253 nt
Filed under: uncultured bacterium
Lineage: Bacteria
Description: partial 16S ribosomal RNA
Rfam family: Bacterial small subunit ribosomal RNA
Source: RNAcentral